AUUUGUUUGAUUAUGAAUCAGCAUUAAAAAUACGUACAACUUCAAAUUUUCACUGUUCUACGAUCAACAGUUACUUUGGUUUCGCGAUUUUAAUAUCGGCAAUACAACGUUUGCUGGGUCAGCUAGUUUAAAUAUAAAAAAAAAACAGUUUAAAAUAGGGUUUUCAGUUUUUACUAUAUGACAGAUUCGACCUUCAGAAGCUUACUUAUCUCUACUUUGACUAAAAGUGUGGUUUGAGUCCUUUCUGCUUAACUAUGUCCAUUUCAAAGAGUAUAAUAAUGUAUAAUAAUAUAUAGGGAAUCAUAUUUCAUAAAACAGAUAUGACUAUAUUUUAUUUGUGUUUAUGUAUCGCAGAUGAAAUUAUAAUUUAAUGAUAUUGCAUUGCAAAGCUUUUCUUACCACAUUAUACAGCAUAGAAUUAGCCUUCUUUUCAAUAUUUGUGAUGUGUACAUCCUAUUUCUGGUUUAAUGUAAUGAUUUCUCCGAGAUCUUGUUGGGUUCUUACUGCUUGGCACUGAACUCAUCUAGUAUUGAAUCAUUUGGUUGCUGCUGAUUAUAUGUAAUAGUGACCAUUUUGUUGCAUUUAGUUGUGUGAGCCAGUCCUUUGUGCAUUGAAAAGUGUUGCAAAACACACAUUUUCAGGACGCUAUUUCCAUCUUUUCUUGUUACUUCAAAUGUGCUUUCUGUGAUACUGAUUGUGAUGACUUACAUCCGGAGCCACAUGUUUUACAAUAUCCGACACAGACUACAUACCACUAUUACUAAUCAUAAAAUGGUAUGAGGUAAACAUGGCGUUAUUACAACUUCCAAAGGAGCUCAUUGAACAUAUAUUCAGUUUUCUAUCAUAUGAAGAAGUAGCAAAAAUAAGAGAGGUUUCAAGAGAACUCGAUAAAAUAUGUCAAGGUCUCCUAAACCGUGGGUUUAUACAACUAGAAGAGCGACGUAUUCGUGUUCAAAAUAAAAUUAUUUCACAAGGACCUUCGUCCGACAACGACCUCAAUAAUCAUCCAUUGUUCAUAGAAUAUAUGGUGGUAAUGCUAUGCGGUAUGACAAUAUGUUUUCUCGGAGUGACAUACAACGAGUAUAUAAAGAAGAAUAAGUGCUGCUUUAUACCCGGGAAAUUGCUGGACCUAAUAAGACGUUUUCUUGAUACGGCGGACAGUGAGAAAAUAGACUGUGAUUUACUGAUGAAACUUUCCAAAGAGUUGAAAAAUGACUCUAGAAUAGCUAUGGAUCAUUUCCACAACUCAGUCGUGAUUGACUUUGCUCAUCUUUCUUUAAUUGAUUAGAAAAGUAGUGGUGCUGACUGGAUACGAGGGGCACACUGAAGAAUGAUCGGGAAUGAGAAAAACCACAUGCACGGUUUAGCUAAAUUGUAUUUUAUUGUUUUUCGAAGUAUUCGCCGUUCAACUUAAUGCACUUUUACAUUCGUGAAAACCAAUCAUUAAAACAGUAAUUCCAGUCUGAAGUUGAUGUUGACAAAAUGGCUGAUUUGUACGCUUCCACAGCUGCUUCGGGGUCUUCAAACUAUUGACCGCGUAAUAAAUCUUACGUGUAGCUCAUUAUGUAAUAUCGACCGAAUUGCACUCAUUCCGAUACUGAUAACAGCCUGAAUCUGCUCGUAUGUCACAUGACGAUCAUCUAAUACGCUGUUCUUGGGCGAAUUUAUGGCACGGAAGUGUUCACGCUUGAGCUCCGUUUCUGUUAACGACGCGACGUGUCAAAUUUAAACCAACAUAGUUUUUGUUUUUGAACUUUUUUUUUUAAUUGUAUGAAUGUCAUUAAAAUUCUAUGAGGCCAGUAUCCAAAUUCUAAAAAAGAUUUUAUUGUAACUCGUAUCAUUUCAGUGUGGUUCUCGUAUUGGUCAUCUGCAUUUCGAUUGCGGUGUAAGGGGGCCAUAUAUAUCCGAUUAUGUUGUUUGUUUCACCCAGCAGUUCAAAAUGAUUAUUAAAUUAAGUAUGUCCGCGUCAGGACAUAAUCGAUUUUUCUAGAGUAACUACAUUACUAGUAACUCGGUUCGACAUUGGAAAUUCGAAUUUCGAUUACUAUUACUUCAUCAAGAACAUGUUUACCUUCAAUGUAGACGUAAAAGUUUAGAGGCACUGGUUGUAUCUAAUUUUCUAGAUGUAAGAUGUGUGUAUGUAAAUGUAUGAGUAUGCAAAUAAAGGACCUGGCUUAGGUUGAUGACCUA
Leptidea sinapis is the source of this 2190-nucleotide long non-coding RNA. RefSeq lists it as uncharacterized. NCBI's taxonomy places the organism in Eukaryota, Metazoa, Arthropoda, Insecta, Lepidoptera, Pieridae. The record is from RefSeq and is a predicted model, not a curated record. The transcript has 6 exons.